ACGUAUAAUCUAGUGGACGGGACGCUCCUUCAACAACAACAGCUAGUCAGACACCUCGGUAGCUUUCUAGCAAACACAGCUACAACAUUCACGCUCUUUACACUGUUUUGGUGUAUAUUAGUCGCUGUGUAUUAAACACACUUCUGUCGUAUGUACUUGUUGGCCCAUUUAAUUAUAUAUUUACGUUGUUUGUCAGCUAGCUGGUUUGCUAAGUUAGCUUAGAACUAAGCUAGUCGCUAAUGCUACCUAGCUAACAUCUCCGACCAUGAGUUCACUAAGCUACUCUCCUCCUGCUACAGAAGAGGGGGUCUGCUGGACGGAGAAAGAAGCUUUCGUCAAAGAGGAGGAGGAAGAGAAGGAUGUUACAAUACAAAAACAAGUAGAGGGUGAGGCUGUUAAGGUGAAAGAAGAAGAGAAAGACGUUACAAUGAAAGAAGAGGAAGACGCGUUCAGAGUGAAAGAUGAGGAAGAUGUUACAGUAAAAGAAGAGGAAGAGAAAGAGGAGGAUGCAGUUUUUGGAGUGAAAGAGGAGGAGGGGGAGAUGACUGUCACAUUGGAGGAAGAAGAGGAGGUUGGAGAUCUGUUUAACCCCAGUUUUCUGUCCUCAGAUAAAGAGCGCUAUGAAAGCCAGUCUACAUAUGAAGAGGUCCCAAUGAAGAGCAGUGGUUCUCAGUCCUGGGGACUCAAAGAGGGGCAUGUUUUUGCCUCAGCACUGCACAGCUGAUUCAAAUGAUCAACUCAUCAUCAAGCUUCAAGUGAUACCUUGUAACUGGAGAUUCCUUCAAAACGAUUGCCUACAGUUGCCGUGUAGGGCACUGCAAGGUUGGGUGACCAGGGUCAUCUGGGACUGCCUUCUGGAGGAAUUCAGAUGUGUGAAGGCUACCUGUGUCCUGCGUAACUUCAUGAGGAUGGACACGAGGACCAGGAGGGGAUCUGCAGCUCGCCGCCGUGUCCCAGAGGAGGAGUCUGCUGCUCUGCAGGAUGUUUCAAGGAUGGGGUCCAACAACGCAGCAAGAGAGGCAAUCCGUGUUCAGGAGAUCUUCACCUCCUACUUCUUCAAAGAGGGUACUGUUCCCUGGCAACACCAUAGACUACACUAUGCACAACCAAAGGCUCUUUUAAGAGCCAUCCACAUUGCAAUAAGAGUAUUCUUCCAUUUACUUAGCUAUGUCAACUGAAGUUAUUCAAUUCCCAGUUUCUCUCCCUUUGAUUUCUACUUCUCAGGUGAGGGUGCUGUUUAGGUAAGGGUGUGAUGUCUGUGCAAAAACAAAACAGGCUAUUUUAAAUCACCCAUAUUGAAGAAAUGUAGAGCAAUUAGACACCCUAUAACCCACACCUACACACUCAUGUAUCAAUCUGAUUGAUGGAUUGUGUUGUGCAGUAAGCAGGCUCAGGUGUAUAACUGUGGCUCCUUCCACCUUCAAAGAAUAGGCAAGAGGGCCAAACAUGGAGAAUAGUAAGACACUUCAUUAUUUCUAUAACUACGCUAUAUUGUUUGUCCUUGUGUGUCCGUUCAUGUUUUUCAGCAUAAAGUACUCUGCAGCCACUUAGUGUGGUGUGGACACCAGGUGAGGCCACACACAGAUUCCUGUUGAACACUGUCACUUUAACUACCUUAUUUUCUCAACAACAGUCUCUCUCCUUCACUUCAUCCCUCUCUCCCCUUCUCCCUAAAUCCUCUAGGUUAUAUCAGCUGUGUCGGUGAACCCCUCCUGCAUCUGGACUGGCUACAUAGAGGGCACAGCAUGAUCAGAGAUAUGUUUUGAUGUGAGAGGAUGCCAACCCCUAGUCCCAUCAUCGCCACCUCACCUGCUUUUAAGAUAACCUUUGGGCCGACUAGAGACACUGCUAUAUAAUUGUGAUGAACUGAGAGAAUAUUUAGGUAGCACUGUGAUUCAUUAAUCAUGUGCUGCCUUCCCUGCUCCUAUGUGCUUACCUCUUUCCCUUUCUGUCUUUUACACCUCUCUCUCCACCUCUUUCUUCCUCUGUUUUUAUAAUGCACAACAGAUGUGCAUUGAAGUACAGAUUGAACUUGUAUUUAUAACACUUGGAUAAUGAGCUUUUCAAUCAAGCGUUUCACAUUCUCUACUGGUUGAAAUGAAGUGUAAUGUGAUGAAAUACUCCACCUAUCCUGUGUUUAUCAGAUCAAUGCAGAUGAAGGGCAUUAGAUGUUGAGAUGAACCGGUGUUGGAGUAUUUACAUGAUGCAUAGGAAGUGUAGUGUUCUGGUUUUUAACAUUAUAUUUCUGUAUAUAUGAAUUAACUAGUUAAAUCCUGUUUCUAGUCUAUUAGUUACAAUGUGUAACCAUUGAUGUCCCAGGACCAAGAUUGGUAAACACUGUUGAAGUGUAGAAUUGUAAUACAUACAUGCAGACACAGCGUCAUUCAAAGACUGGAAUUUGAUACUCCUGGUAUUGGAUAUGACUGAAUAAUCAUCUCAAAGACAUUCAUACCUAAACUGCACCUUUAUUUGCCAAGGUAGAGUACAUGAUUAGUGAACAUAUUAAAUGUACAGGCUACAAUGUGGGGAUCUCAUGCAUGGUAAUAACUACAUGUAUAUACGACUUGCAUCCUUGGCACAACAUGAUAUUAUAUUCUACUCAAUCCA
Molecule: long non-coding RNA, 2607 nt
Organism: Salvelinus fontinalis (brook trout)
Lineage: Eukaryota; Metazoa; Chordata; Actinopteri; Salmoniformes; Salmonidae
Exons: 4
Source: RefSeq, a predicted model, not a curated record